This 436-nucleotide ribosomal RNA is filed under the name uncultured bacterium. RNAcentral describes it as "partial 16S ribosomal RNA". It matches the Rfam family "Bacterial small subunit ribosomal RNA", at positions 29 to 507 of the family's 1533-position model. The record is from RNAcentral.
AUGAACGCUGGCGGCAUGCUUAACACAUGCCAGUCGAACGGGAAGUGGUGUUUCCAGUGGCGAACGGGUGAGUAACGCGUAAGAACCUGCCCUUGGGAGGGGAACAACAACUGGAAACGGUUGCUAAUACCCCGUAGGCUGAGGAGCAAAAGGAGAAAUCCGCCCAAGGAGGGGCUCGCGUCUGAUUAGCUAGUUGGUGAGGUAAUAGCUUACCAAGGCGAUGAUCAGUAGCUGGUCCGAGAGGAUGAUCAGCCACACUGGGACUGAGACACGGCCCAGACUCCUACGGGAGGCAGCAGUGGGGAAUUUUCCGCAAUGGGCGAAAGCCUGACGGAGCAAUGCCGCGUGGAGGUGGAAGGCCUACGGGUCGUCAACUUCUUUUCUCGGAGAAGAAACAAUGACGGUAUCUGAGGAAUAAGCAUCGGCUAACUCUGUG